AAUACCUUUGGCAGGCUGCUGUCCAUCCUCAUCCCCUCCCAAUUACACAACCAGCCUCCCCCCAAACCCUAGCACGACGCCGCAGCUCUGCCCAGCGCGCCACUUCCGCUGCCCGGCGUCCUCAGCCCCGCUCAACCCAAGCUUUUACAAUUCAUGUUUGUUUUAUACUGGCUGGAGGAGGUAUUGUUAAUAUUUUGCUCUAACAGUUCACUAAAUAAGUGAGGAAGAAACUAUAAUCUGCAGUGACAGUGAGGAAUAAACUACUGAUGAUGAGGAUAACAAUACAGAGUGUGUCGAGUCUGAAGACAAAGUUAUCAGAGUUAUGCUCACUUGGUCAUGUUUCUUUCAGUAUCGACAAUGUUCUUGAACUUUGAUUUAGGUUUGUGGAGUAAUUAAAAAUUCAUGGCAAAUUCACAGAUGAAUGCGGAGAAGCUAAUGAAGAUGGCAGGUGCUGUUCGUACUGGUGGGAAAGGUAGCAUGAGAAGGUAUGGUUGUGAUAUCUCUAGUUUUGAUUUUGCCAGAAACUGAAUAUAAUAAUAGGAUAAACGGUUUCAAUAAGUAAAUAAUAAACAGUUUGCUGAUCAGUUUGAUUUUAACUAAAAAACAGCUUUACAGUUUGUAUAUGAAUGUUAAAACAACUUAUGUAUAUGUGGAUUUUGAAGUACAUAAGCCAAGUUAAUGAGAAUCAAAGAUUGGUUGUUUAAGUUUAUUAUAGUUUGUUGUUGGCCCGGCAACUUUGACCCGGACACCAGAUUUUGGGUCAUUAUGGGCCGUUUUAACGACCUGCUGGGUCACUCUGGGCAUGGCUGAUGUUAAAAGCGGGUCAAAAUGGGCUGUAAUAGAUAUGUCAUCAUGUAUAUGCAAUUUAGUGUGUACAUAAUAUAUAAUAUAAUUUAAUAUUUGAAAAUUUAUUAAAACCCCUUUUUAAACCAACCCAACCCGACCCAAACCCGUUCCAACCCGGACCUGUUCCACCCAAACUCGUUCCAACCCGAACCAAAACAACCCUGACCCAAACCCAUUUUAACCCGCGACGUGACCCAACCUGCCCGUUUUGCCAGGUGUAAUGUUGAUGUAUAUAUAGAAUAGAGUAGGUUGUUAUUUAUUUAUGUUUAUGUUUGUCAAUUAAUGUUGAUUUAAGAUCUUAAUCGUCGAAGAUAAGCAAAGAAAAACACAAGAGAGAGUUUUACAUGUUGAGCUUGUAGAGUUGUAGCCAGGUAUGUUUUAUAUAGGUGAUUGCAUCUUAUUUCAUGACUAAUGACUAAAUAUCGAGUCAAUCACCGAAAAGACAAACUUUAUUGUAGACCAGUUUGGCCGCUUUGACAAACACACGUUUAACUGGUAAUUUGUUUGAUGAUAUUUGUUUUUCAAAAUGGGCAGAUUGAAUAAAAAUGUAAUAAACUUUUGGUUCAAUUUCUGUGUUAUAAUUAUUUAAAUACUUGGUAUAGUCCUUGAAAACCAUCGGUGUUGGUAAACUGAAACAUGUAAUACAACAAGCAGGGGAGGUGUGUCAUCCACCAGUGGUUAUGGCUGAGAAAGUGAUAUUUUAUCUGUAUGCAAGAGGCUAUUUGAAGGCAAGAUCUUUGAAGCAUCAUCUAACUGUGGCUGCUACUGAGAAAGAUGAAAAAUAUAUAUAUAAAUUAAUAGAGCUGAGGGUGAGGCCGAGUCCAAAUGCCUAUCUGGUUUGGGUAUUGCACGCCAACGACAAGCUAUUGUGGAUGGGUUAAGAGACAUCAAAAUAGGCCACUAGUUACAGGUUUACUCCCCACCACUACAACAACAAGGUGGUCACCAGCCCAUGGAUGCAAAUUUGCACUUUUGCAGCACUUUUAAGUCGAAAAGUAGUGAGUGUAUGGACUUGAAGAAAACGGCGUAGAAAUAAUUCUUAGUCAAUAUGUACAGUGAUUUCCCUUUGCCACCUUUGUAGAUAGGCUUUGAUUAGAAGUUUAUGUCUUUAAUUAGUAUUUAAAUUGAAAACUUAUGUAUGAAUUUUGGGUUGGUAUUGUUAAUAUCAUUUGGUUUUUACA
Long non-coding RNA from Helianthus annuus (common sunflower), 2027 nucleotides. RefSeq lists it as uncharacterized. The record is from RefSeq and is a predicted model, not a curated record. The transcript is spliced from 5 exons. Lineage: Eukaryota; Viridiplantae; Streptophyta; Magnoliopsida; Asterales; Asteraceae.